GCUGUGGCUCAGUGGUAGUGCACAUGCCUGGGGCAUGUGUGAGGCACUGGGUUCGAUUCUCAGCACUGCA
Molecule: transfer RNA, 70 nt
Filed under: Marmota monax (woodchuck)
Lineage: Eukaryota; Metazoa; Chordata; Mammalia; Rodentia; Sciuridae
Description: tRNA.Pro
Source: RNAcentral